GAUGAACGCUGGCGGCGUGCCUAACACAUGCAAGUCGAGCGGACAGACGCGGCUCUUGCUCCGCUGACGUUAGCGGCGGACGGGUGAGUAACACGUGGAUAACCUCCCUAUAAGACUGGGAUAACUUCGGGAAAGCGGAGCUAAUACCGGAUAAUAUAUUGAACCGGGUGGUUCAUUGGUGAAAGCCGGUUUUGCUGACACUUAUACGUCGUUCCGCGCCGCUUUAGCUAGUGGGUAAGGUAACGGCUUACCAAGGCGACGAUGCGUAGCCGACCUGAGAGGGUGAUCGGCCACACUGGAACUGAGACACGGUCCAGACUCCUACGGGAGGCAGCAGUAGGGAAUCUUCCGCAAUGGGCGAAAGCCUUACGGAGCAAGGCCGCGUGAGUGAGGAAGGUCUUCGGAUCGUAAAACACUGUUAUUAGGGAGGAACAAAUGUGUAAGUAACUAUGCACGUCUUGACGGUACCUAAUCAGAAAGCCACGGCUAACUACGUG
RNAcentral lists this ribosomal RNA (497 nucleotides) under uncultured bacterium. RNAcentral's name for it is "partial 16S ribosomal RNA". It matches the Rfam family "Bacterial small subunit ribosomal RNA", at positions 28 to 507 of the family's 1533-position model. The record is from RNAcentral.